RNAcentral lists this ribosomal RNA (270 nucleotides) under uncultured archaeon. RNAcentral describes it as "partial 16S ribosomal RNA". It matches the Rfam family "Archaeal small subunit ribosomal RNA", at positions 477 to 747 of the family's 1478-position model. The record is from RNAcentral.
CAGCUCUCCGAGUAGUGUGGACGUUUAUUGGGCCUAAAGCAUCCGUAGCUUGCUAGAUAAGUCCUCUGUUAAAUCCACUGAUUCAAUCGUUGGAUUGCGGGGGAUACUGUUUGGCUAGGGGACGGGAGAGGUCGACGGUAUUUCCGGGGUAGGGGUGAAAUCCUAUAAUCCCGGGAGGACCACCAGUGGCGAAGGCUGUCGACUAGAACGCGCCCGACGGUGAGGGAUGAAAGCUGGGGGAGCGAUCCGGAUUAGAGACCCGAGUAGUCC